CUGCUUCUCCCACAAUCCGGGAUAUCUUUAUUCAUUCCAUCCCAUUGGCCUUGGGCGAUACAAACUUUCUUUUUCUAACGAACUAGCAAUUACAUGUGGACUUUCAGAGUAGAGAAACAGUGGGUUAUAACAUUGUAUCUGUUCCAGUCUGCGGUUCCAAAAUUGGAGAAGUACACUCAACCCUGCCUUCCCCCUGGCCUCUGGUCCCUGAGCCCCAGAAAUGGCCAAAGAAAGAAACAGCCAAGGAUCUUGAGAAACUGUUCCUUGAAGUCAAGAUCACACACGUCACCCAAACAUGACCUUGAUCCACAGCAGACUGCCCCUUUUUCUGGAAAAUGACAGAUCCCGGAGUCAGGUGUGUAGCUCAAGCGUUUGCCUUG
RNAcentral lists this long non-coding RNA (380 nucleotides) under Rattus norvegicus (Norway rat). RNAcentral's name for it is "long non-coding RNA NONRATT032936". Lineage: Eukaryota; Metazoa; Chordata; Mammalia; Rodentia; Muridae. The record is from RNAcentral.